This 365-nucleotide ribosomal RNA is filed under the name uncultured bacterium. RNAcentral's name for it is "bacterial SSU rRNA". It matches the Rfam family "Bacterial small subunit ribosomal RNA", at positions 30 to 399 of the family's 1533-position model. The record is from RNAcentral.
AUUGAACGCUGGCGGCAUGGCUAAAACAUGCAAGUCGAGCGCGAAAGAGGAGCAAUCCUCCAGUAGAGCGGCGAAAGGGUGAGUAAUACGUUUCUAUGUACCCCGAGGUCAGGGAUAGCCCAGGGAAACCUGGAGUAAUACCUGAUGUGGUCCUCAUGUCAAAGUGAGAAUCAAAGGCUUGCCGCCUUGGGAGCAGGGAACGUCCUAUCAGGUAGUUGGUGAGGUAAGGCUCACCAAGCCAAUGACGGGUAGCGGGUGUGAGAGCAUGGCCCGCCACAUCGGGACUGAGACACUGCCCGGACUUCUGCGGAAGGCUGCAGUAACGAAUCUUCCACAAUGCGCGAAAGCGUGAUGGAGCAAUGCCG